This 478-nucleotide ribosomal RNA is filed under the name uncultured bacterium. RNAcentral describes it as "partial 16S ribosomal RNA". It matches the Rfam family "Bacterial small subunit ribosomal RNA", at positions 28 to 507 of the family's 1533-position model. The record is from RNAcentral.
GAUGAACGCUGGCGGCGUGCUUAACACAUGCGAGUCGAACGAGAAAUGUAGACGGAAACCUUCGGGCGGAAGCCUUCAUUUCGAGUGGCGGACGGGUGAGUAACGCGUGGGUAACCUGCCUCAUACAGGGGGAUAACAGUUGGAAACGACUGUUAAUACCGCAUAAGACCACAGCAUCGCAUGAUGCGGGGGUAAAAACUCCGGUGGUAUGAGAUGGACCCGCGUUCGAUUAGCCAGUUGGCGGGGUAACGGCCCACCAAAGCGACGAUCGAUAGCCGAUCUGAGAGGAUGACCGGCCACAUUGGGACUGAGACACGGCCCAAACUCCUACGGGAGGCAGCAGUGGGGAAUAUUGCACAAUGGGGGAAACCCUGAUGCAGCGACGCCGCGUGAGUGAAGAAGUACUUCGGUAUGUAAAGCUCUACCAGCAGGGAAGAAAAUGACGGUACCUGAGUAAGAAGCCCCGGCUAACUACGUG